CUUCUUCUUCUUCUUCUUCUUCUUCUUCUUCUUCUUCUUCUGUUUCUCGUGAUGCGCCUCUCUAGCAGAUCGGUCGUCGUCUUCAUCGACGUCAGCACACAGCUGGGCACAAACAGAAACGCGACAUUACCUUCCCUCAAGAGAGAGAACAUUGUUUCAAUGCUCCCCAAGUAGCAUUCGAUGAACAAUUAGCUGGUCGAUAUCCACAUCUGUUCGAAUGACACGGCUUCGUGCACACCACGUGCACAGUCUCAAGCAGACGCUGACGGCUUUGGGAGCAAAUGAACCAUCAGCAACAACCUCAUAGGAGACGGUGCUGAGGCGGCAAAGUACUAUACACGGUCCAAAGUUUAGCACAGAAGUUUCUCCGACAGGCCUCGCCGUCGCACAGUCUGGCCCCUGAAGCAAUGUGUAUCAGUGACCAGAGCUGGAAUGCUGCUGCGCACUACUGCUCAGCUCCGUGUGGAAGAGUACUGCAAUAAAGACAGCAUCUGCCUUUUGGACUCCUUCUGAAGGACAACAUUCAAGUUUUCAUAGAUGUCCGUGUGAUGCCAUAGUACUUUUGGGACCAAAGCAACACUAGAAGAAACAAGAAAAGAACACUGCUAUCUCUCAACUGAAUUGACCCAUUGCGUCACUCCACUCUUUGUACUAACCAGAUACGAGUAGCGUUUGUGUCAAGCAUGCCAUCCGCACAACUGCAAGAACUUUGUCAUCCGAACGCUCUCAUGACAGCACAUCGAAAAAACGAAACUCACUGGCAAACAAGGUUAUGUACGCUAAUGGACUGCAAACUGAAAUAAAACGCUUCUUAUAAUUA
Rhipicephalus microplus (southern cattle tick) is the source of this 820-nucleotide RNA transcript. It is a transcript of the gene named innexin inx2-like, with no coding region annotated. The record is from RefSeq and is a predicted model, not a curated record. NCBI's taxonomy places the organism in Eukaryota, Metazoa, Arthropoda, Arachnida, Ixodida, Ixodidae.